ACACACACACACACACACACACACACAGGCCUACACACAAAUUCCCUCAUAAAUUGUCGCUCAAGCUGUACAUACGUGCAGAGUAUCAGAUGUUAUUUACUGGUGAUUUUAAGCCCACGCGUCAAAAGAGUGUCGUGUCGGUUCAUCUGGGGUGUUUUCGAGUGAUUGGAGUCGCCAUUGACAGAACAAGCAGCGGGGAAAGUGUUUCAGAAGGCCGCCGUUUGUGUGUGUUUGUUGUUUUUCCCCCCCGCUGGAUUGUGUGGUACACUAGAGCCCCCUGUAGGCGGACGGAGGAACUGCAGCCAACACAUUUCAGCUGUAGCAUAUCAGGCUCUGUGUCUGCUGGAAUCUUCUGGAUUUCUCAUGAUCAUCAUCAGGCCGGGUUUCCUCGGCAGGGCAGAGUUCAGCAUCCAUUCACUGAGGUCUAAAUGAUGAGACGAGCGAGAGAGUGCGCAGGGUUACCAGCAAACACGGCUCACCUACUGUGACUUGGCGCACCCCACUGGACAGCUGGAGACUAUGGGAGAAUACAACCAGCCAAAGCCUGACAGAGAGAGAGUAAGAGACUACUGAGACUCAGCAGAGAUCAAUGCUGGACCACAUCAGGCUCACUGACCCCCUCUGCUGGAGAGCGACACAUCCCACAAUGCACCACAGGCAGAGGUCAAGCAAUCCUGUCAAAUCACAUUGUGCUAAUGUUCAGACACUUACAUUACAUAUUUAGUGUUCUUAACACCAUGACAUAUACCUAGUUAAACAGGUAGCACUUGACAAUAAGAUUGUCUAUGUUAACAAUAUUUUAAUUCAAUUAUUUUGCUUUAAUUUGAUCAAAACAAUUAAUUUUGAUUUAAUUUUAUCGCCGGUUUGGUCCCUAUAAACAACACCUUAAAAUUUCUGAUUUUGACUGUAAUGUAAUGUAACGAUGUGCCCUUUAAAGCCAAUUCAGAACAAUUAUUAUUGCCAAACUCUCUAUACAAAAAAACUCAAACUGAAUUGAUUAUAACUUUAGUAUGCUCAUCAGCCAAUCAGAAUCAUUCAACAGCCCCAUACAAUAAACAAAUCUAAUUCGA
Non-coding RNA from Danio rerio (zebrafish), 1070 nucleotides. The record is from Ensembl. NCBI's taxonomy places the organism in Eukaryota, Metazoa, Chordata, Actinopteri, Cypriniformes, Danionidae.